AGUGCCCAGCUUGCUGGGUGACUCGAGUGGCGAACGGGUGAGUAACACGUGGGUGAUCUGCCCUGCACUUUGGGAUAAGCCUGGGAAACUGGGUCUAAUACCGAAUACACCUCAUUGGCUGCAUGGCUGGUGGGGGAAAGCUUUUGCGGUGUGGGAUGGGCCCGCGGCCUAUCAGCUUGUUGGUGGGGUGAUGGCCUACCAAGGCGACGACGGGUAGCCGGCCUGAGAGGGUGUCCGGCCACACUGGGACUGAGAUACGGCCCAGACUCCUACGGGAGGCAGCAGUGGGGAAUAUUGCACAAUGGGCGCAAGCCUGAUGCAGCGACGCCGCGUGAGGGAUGACGGCCUUCGGG
This 353-nucleotide ribosomal RNA is filed under the name uncultured bacterium. RNAcentral's name for it is "bacterial SSU rRNA". It matches the Rfam family "Bacterial small subunit ribosomal RNA", at positions 70 to 422 of the family's 1533-position model. The record is from RNAcentral.